GUAUAGCUAGUUUUUUAGAUAAGUUUAUUGAAAAGGUUCAUCUACUAUUCAUUUGCUUCAACCUCACGGGUAAAUGUAACACAAGAAAGUUAAAAGAAUGGGUCACACAAGCAACAAUAUGAAAUCUCUAUUAGCAUUUCUACUUUGUACAAGACCAAGUGCAUCCAAAGAACAGAUAUUGUCACAGUUCUAUAAUCAUUUAAAAAAGGCAAGUUUGAUGAGGCUGGUUCAUCUGGAACAGGUUUGUAAAUUCAAGCGAAUGAAGACAGAUUGGAAAUCUUCCAAGCCGAGGAUAAGCCUGCAGACAAGACCCAGCAGAUUUAACAAAUAAUUCUUUUCGGCCUAAGACGAGCAGCAGCCACUCUUCUGUGCAAAAGGCUGUCCACGGAUCUGCACUGUGGGAGGUCUUGCAUUGUUCGUAGCUGGCUGACUUGCCAUUCUAUCCUUUAUAGCAGCAGCCAUGGCCAUGAAAGCCU
This 476-nucleotide unclassified non-coding RNA is filed under the name Hevea brasiliensis (rubber tree). The record is from RNAcentral. Lineage: Eukaryota; Viridiplantae; Streptophyta; Magnoliopsida; Malpighiales; Euphorbiaceae.